CAGCCAUGACGAGGGCAUUGUCUAUGAAUGUCUCUGUACCUCUCCUAAACUUCAAAAAGACUAUCAUCAUGCUUUUGUUUGAAAGUAGCAAUCUUCGUCUUGAGUUU
Jatropha curcas is the source of this 107-nucleotide non-coding RNA. The record is from Rfam. Lineage: Eukaryota; Viridiplantae; Streptophyta; Magnoliopsida; Malpighiales; Euphorbiaceae.